UAAUAAUACAAUUAAAUUAUUUUAGUUUUAAUAAAUUGACAAUUCUAAAUUUUAUAUAUAGAUUUAAUAAGAGAAAUUUUAAAUUUUGUUAAGAUUUAUAUUUUUUAAUGAUUUAAGAAAUUUUAGAUAUAAACUAGGAUUAGAUACCCUAUUAUUUAAAAUGUAAUUUUAAAAACUAAAUUAGUAUAAGAUAUGUUCUCGAAAAUUAAAGAUUUUGGCGGUAUUUUAGUCUAUUCAGAGGAACCUGUUCUAUAAUUGAUAGUCCACGAUUUAAUUUACUUGUUUUAUUAAUUUACAUAUCGUCGUAGUUUGAAUAUUUUAUUAGAAUUUUAAUGUUCAAGAUUUUUAAUAAUAAAAAAAAUCAGAUCAAGGUGUAGUUUAUACACAAGUAGAAAUGGGUUACUAUAAUAUAAAUUUAGGAUAAUUAUUUUUAAAGUAAUUUGAAUAAGGAUUUGAAAGUAAUUUUAAUUGAUUAAUUAAAAUGAUUUUAGCUCUAAAAU
Molecule: ribosomal RNA, 500 nt
Filed under: Chrysomela schaefferi
Lineage: Eukaryota; Metazoa; Arthropoda; Insecta; Coleoptera; Chrysomelidae
Description: partial 12S ribosomal RNA
Source: RNAcentral